Molecule: small nuclear RNA, 102 nt
Filed under: Octopus vulgaris (common octopus)
Lineage: Eukaryota; Metazoa; Mollusca; Cephalopoda; Octopoda; Octopodidae
Also listed under: 1 other name
Source: RNAcentral
AUAUAUUAUACAUACAUAUGCUAAAACUGGAACGAUACAGAGAAUAUUAGUAUGGCCCUGCGCAAGGAUGACAGGCAAAUUAGGGAAGUGUUCCAUAUUUUU